RNAcentral lists this unclassified non-coding RNA (758 nucleotides) under Megachile rotundata (alfalfa leafcutting bee). RNAcentral describes it as "uncharacterized LOC105662249, transcript variant X2". Lineage: Eukaryota; Metazoa; Arthropoda; Insecta; Hymenoptera; Megachilidae. The record is from RNAcentral.
UGCAACAGCCCGUGCAACACUCAGCGCAGCUUGCGGAGCUUUUUCAUCAAACGUCCAAUACGAAGAAGCCGGCAACGAUGUUCAAGGUGGAUAAUUAUUCAAAUAUACUGACUGCACUUCUCUUGGAUGGUAAAAUUCUGAACUAAGCGAUAUCACGAGUGGACAGUAUUAACAAUAGGUUAGGUAUAAUUUUUGAGCGAUACCAGAAUAAUUUAACGCCACCAAUGCGUAGACACAACGCAUGAUAAUGUAACGUACCUGUGCAACGCGACACGAUUAACAAUUGCACGGUCGAAUAACGCAAUACACACUCGAAAGAUCGUGUCACAUCUCUGAAACGAGAGGUUGGAAGCGUAACACGCGAGAAGGGGGAUGGAAACACCAUAGGGACUAAACUUUGCCCGCUAGCAGUCCAUUAGAAGUGCACGGACGAUUUAGCAGAGAGAGGCUUUGCUCGCUGCUUUCCUAGUCUGCCUUUUAGGUCCAGCAAUUUGAUGCUGCUUGCCUGUCAUGCUAAUAUCCUAAGCUUUAUAUCGAGUCGAGUUUUUCCUUGCUUCUGAUAUAUGUUUCCUGGUAAGGGUACCUGUGGGACGCGUCGUUGAACACUCUGCAUAUUACUUUUUAUUGUAUGUUACUAGACGAUUUUUCUUCCGAGAAAUCUUGUUGCGAAAUUUUUCGUCUUUUGUACGAGAUACAACGAUACAAAUUGUGCUUCUCUAUUUUUCUUCUAUCUUUAGUUGGCACAUCUUUUAUAGGGG